UGUAAGCACAUGAUUCCAGUAGGGACAGGAAGGUACUACAGUUUUGGGAGCCUGGGGACAGCUGCAUAGAAGGCAGGAUUCAAUAUGUAAGUGAGAGAGACAUUUGGAGCAUGAAGAGCUGGGCUUCAGGCAGUUGUCUUUAAACAAGAUCGGGGUGGAUCUUCAGAAACAAGGGGCUUGUGCAUGGAGACAUUAGGCCUUCACAUUGUCACUUGUUUCCCCCAAUGUCUUGCCUCCAAUGGGAUCCCUUCACCUGCAUCUGUUCCUAGAACAGCAGAAAGGAGAUGCCUAAUACUCCUCUAAUGACAAAAGUUCUGACUGCCUUCCAGCUACUAAUCCCUGCAGACCCAUUGCCUGGCAACUGCAACAGCAUAAGAGAUCAAUGCCAGGAGAACAGUUCAGAAAACAAAUUCCUUUCCAUCCAAGACAACGCAGUUGGAGGCAUCCAACAAACCCAAGCUUUGUGUCUUUCAGCCAGUGAGAAAAUGCAAAUUACUGGCAAACAUAAUGCAGUACUCACGGAUGGACCAACACGGCCUACUUCACCAGGAAGUCCUGCUACACCAGGGGGACCCUACAAUAACCAAGUAAAAGAAAGAAAUAUGUAUAAAUUAUUUACAAUCAUCUGUAUGAUAGAGAUCUAAGUACACAGGCAAAUAUCUUCCCAAAGCAACAGGAGAUAAAUUAUGCCCUCAGAAACACAUCUGUACACCCAAAGGACUAAAAUGGUCUAAAAUGUUAGUUGUAAAAAUAUGUAUGAAUAGAUACAGAACAUCAGGGCCAAAAUUAUUAUUCUGUCUUUUCAUUUUAUUACUUUGAUUUGUUAUGCGAUCGCAGACAGUAGAUUGUAUAAAAUGAUACUUACUGCUGGUCCAAGAAUCCCCUUACCCUGAAAAAAGAAAAAUGUGGUUAGCAAAUAUUUUUGUUUUCUGACAUUUAAUCUUGUUGGGUGCCAAGAAUAGGAUCAUUUAGGGUGAUCAAACACAAAAUUGUGACAAUUCCUUCAAUGAAUGAAUAUUAAAACAUUACUAUCCUGACAUGUGAUAUUGCUGAGUAGGUAUUUUGGCAAUUUUAACUGAUAUUCAACAUCUAGUAUAAAGAUUAGCAUGAGAUACUUAAUAUCAGCAGGCAAGUACAGUAAUUUUGUUUGACUAAACUAACCUGCAGUACAAAAAUAUGUGCUGGCAAAGGAAUGAAGAAACUAAUACUAAUAGGUUUAGCUGGUUAUCAAGCAUUGAAACCUAUGCCAAAAGAUACACCUUGAUGACACAUGAAGGAAGUGGUCAUUUCCUUCUCCAUGAGUAGUGGUUAAUAAUAAAGUAGAAAAAAAUUCAAUUAUUUCAAGGCCUUCUUAAGUCCCUUAAAGCCACUAAACCACUGCUUCUUGCUGAGCAGGAGAAGCAACGAGCUGCUCCUGUUUACAUUUACUAUCAGUGUUGUUCUUGAUUAUUUUAAUCAGCUAUGUCCUAGCAACAAAUGCUGUUUUUCCUGUUAGGUAGAAUACAUACUCCAUAGCAAGGUUCGGCCCCAAUCCUGUAAGACUUAAGCAUAUGCCUAACUUUAUGCAAGUGAAUAGUGCCAAUGAAGUCACAGAUUUAUUUGGGUUUUAGACCCCAUUGGGAGUUGGGCAUCUGAGUGUUAAAGAUAAGAACACUUCU
Molecule: long non-coding RNA, 1658 nt
Organism: Chrysemys picta bellii (western painted turtle)
Lineage: Eukaryota; Metazoa; Chordata; Testudines; Emydidae
Source: RefSeq, a predicted model, not a curated record